UACGGAGGGGGCUAGCGUUGUUCGGAAUUACUGGGCGUAAAGCGUACGUAGGCGGCUUUGUAAGUUAGAGGUGAAAUCCCGAGGCUCAACCUCGGAACUGCCUUUGAUACUGCAAAUCUCGAGUCCGGAAGAGGUGAGUGGAAUUCCUAGUGUAGAGGUGAAAUUCGUAGAUAUUAGGAAGAACACCAGUGGCGAAGGCGGCUCACUGGUCCGGUACUGACGCUGAGGUGCGAAAGCGUGGGGAGCAAACAGG
This 253-nucleotide ribosomal RNA is filed under the name uncultured bacterium. Its description in RNAcentral is "partial 16S ribosomal RNA". It matches the Rfam family "Bacterial small subunit ribosomal RNA", at positions 524 to 776 of the family's 1533-position model. The record is from RNAcentral.